UGCAUGCAAACAAGCGUUUCAGUAGUUCCAGCUAAUGACAGCUUGUUUUUCAGGCUGGGUAGAGACAGGUAAGUCCUUUAGUAAACUCACAAAGGCUGACAGCACCAAGACAGCUGCUCAGGUGUGGAACAGAACAGAAACCUUCCACAUGUUCUUUCCAUCUCCUCUCUCCUGAGAGUCUUUGUCCUGUACAAUCAGGGAUAAAUCUACAGCAAACCUAAGAUCUUUGCUGUCCUAUUUCACAGGUUCUUUCUGCUGCCACCUCCAUUGUCACCAACAUUCAGCUUUUCAUCUCUUCUAAAACAACUACGAUUUUCUUGUUUUGUCCUUGAGAAGUACUUUCUUUAGUAUGCAGGGAUAAACAGAAAAAAGAUAUCUUAAGUGCAGCAUUGUUUCCUAUCAGCAACACAGAUCAUGUGAAAAUAACCUUUAAGAAGAGCCUGGAAGGGAGAAGUAUUUUUUUUUUAUGGAACAAGAUACUUCACUGUCACUGAAGCUCUAGCACUGCCCUAAACUGCUGCUCAUUUGAAAUAAUACUCUUAAAAAACAAGCAUUUUUUGCAAGGAUGUUUGCUUUCUAUAUGUAUAAUAACAAAAGCUUAAUACUCAACUAAUCAUUACCUGCCAGAUAACAAAGUUCUAACCCAAACAAUUCAUGCAAGCAACAACAGGAAAAAGCCUUACUUAUGUUACACUUAGGUCUGCCACAGAACCUGACAAAACUUUUUUCUUUAUAAUAUUUACAUUCUUAUCAAAGACACUCUAUACAGCAAGCCUGACAGCAAUGAUCUGUUAAGACCUACAAAUUAAUCUGUAAUAUUAUCUCAGAUUUUGUUUACGACUCCCAUGAUAUUUCAAGCCAUAUGUUCAAAUCAAUGAACCACAUGGCAGAUUAUAAAAUAUACAAAGCUUUGAGGUUUUAGAUCCUUUCUUUCAAACAUCCAGGAAUUUACUGAACACCUUUGGAUUCAAAAGUUACUGUUUAAAAAGAAACACAGAAUAAACCCCACAUAAACUACCAGCAAAAUUUUAAAGUAUGCUGAGGACACUUCCUCAAUAAACUCCUUAGUCAUCAAGAGUUUUGUGGUUUCCUGGAGGUGGAAAUGCCACUUCAGUGCCAGUACCUCCCAUUCCAGUAAGAAAAUGAGAUUUCACAAAUUGUACUCUGUGCUCAACACACAGGAUUCACGACACAAACCUUACAAUGACUAUACCCUCGGAGCACUGGGAAACUGACAAGUCAACACUCUGCAAAGUUUCUCAAUACCAAGUUCUUUCUCCACACAAAGUCCUACCUUGGUCAGUUUUGGUUGCUGGCUUCCAGUUUUCAGCACUAAUUACUGGCAGACAAACCUGCCCCUUUUCAUCGAUGUUAGGAUGAUAGAUCUUUGUUUUAAAUGUGAUCUUAGGAGGUUUGAAUGGAUAUUCUGCUGGGAAGUUGAUUUCAAUUCUGAAGGCUCCUUUAUCAUAUGGAGGAUUGAACAAUAAGCCCUUGCCAGGUCAAUAAAUUAGCUUCAUCAACCUGGAUAUUACGGAAGUUUUUCAUUCCACAUUUGCGGAUUUCUUCAAGCUCC
This is a long non-coding RNA of Taeniopygia guttata (zebra finch), 1573 nucleotides long. The record is from Ensembl. Lineage: Eukaryota; Metazoa; Chordata; Aves; Passeriformes; Estrildidae.